GGGUUCUUCCGUUGGUCAGGCUAACAAGUCUGUACUAGCAUGUAGAAUCUCUACUUUCUGGGGAACUAUCAUGUUAUUAAUUUAGCGUGGUGGGAAACCAGGACCUUUACCUUGAAAAAAUUAGAGUGUUUAAAGCAGGCAUUUUUGCUCGAAUACAUUAGCAUGGAAUAAUAGAAUAGGACGGCAUGGUUCUAUUUUGUUGGUUUCUAGGAUCACCGUA
Molecule: ribosomal RNA, 220 nt
Filed under: Campeiostachys nutans
Lineage: Eukaryota; Viridiplantae; Streptophyta; Magnoliopsida; Poales; Poaceae
Description: Elymus nutans partial small subunit ribosomal RNA
Rfam family: Eukaryotic small subunit ribosomal RNA
Source: RNAcentral